This 25809-nucleotide long non-coding RNA is filed under the name Lynx pardinus (Iberian lynx). The record is from RNAcentral. Lineage: Eukaryota; Metazoa; Chordata; Mammalia; Carnivora; Felidae.
UGCCGCCAGCUUUGUCUCCUGAACACCUCGUUCACCAUUUCUUCCUCCGGAGUCGGAAAGGCGCGCUUCUUUGGGCUCUUGAGAAGGUGGUCCGGAAGCUGGCGACCAAGGGUAGUUGUUCACCCUCAUCUGCUGAUACUAUAGAGGUCGCCCCCACCCCCACCCCAGGGUUGAAGUAAGGGUGCAGUGGGCAGGGCGGCGCAGCUGGGGAAUCGGUCCUGCGUUGGGUGUUCUCUCAGAGCCAGAACUCGAGUGGGGAGCGCGCGUGCUAGUGACCCGUGAUGCGGCUAUGUCGCUGUCAUCUUCCCUUUCCAUUGGGUUAUCCUGGGUGUGAGCCUGCGCCACACGAAUGUAUUCCCUCACUCAGGAGAACCACAAUCCACCCUCUCUUCCACUAAUGUAAAUCUAAGUUGGCCUGUUUUUGUUUGUUUGUUUGUUUUAGAUUUUUAGCUACCCAGUUCAGGAAAUACCUUCUAUCUUGUCCGUGAUUUCCAUCCUAAUCUCAUGGUGCUAGGACUAAUCUACCGUUGCCAUCUUUAGGUGUUUACCAUUGUAUUUGGCAUCCCCCAUCUUUUCAUGGUAUUUGACUUGAUUUGACAUGAUAACAUUUUUAAAAUUUUAUUUAAUUCCAAGUUAGUUAAAAAAUAGUGUAAUAAUGGUUUCAGGAUUAGAAUUUAGUGAUUCAUUACGCAUAACACCUACUGCUCAUCUCUACAGUACCCUCCUUAAUGCCCAUCAUGCCCCCACCCCCCUCCCAGCAACCCUCAGAUUUUGUAUUUAAGAGUCUUAUGUUUUGCCUCCCUCUCUGUUUUUAUCUUAUUUUUCUUGCCUGUAUGUUCAUCUGUUUUGCUUCUUAAAUUCCCAUAUGAGUGAAAUCAUAUAUUUGUCUUUAACUUAUUUCACUUAGCAUAGUAUGUUCUAGUUCCAACCAGGUUGUAGCAAAUGGCAAGAUUUCAUUCAUUUUGAUUGUAAUAUUCCAUUGUGUACACACACCACACUUUCUACAUGCACUCAUUCAGUCAUUGGACAUUUGGGCUCUUUCCAUAAUUUGGCUAUUGUUGAUAGUGCUGCUAUAAACAUUGGGAUGUAUGUGCCCCUCCGAAACAGCAUACCUGUAUCCUUUGGAUAAAUACCUAGUAUUACAAUUGCUGGGUUGCAGGGUAGCUCUAUUUUUAAUUAUUUGAGGGAUUUCCAUAGUAUUUUCCAGAGCAGCUGCACCAGUUUGCAUUCCCACCAACAGUGCAGAAGUGUCCCCCUUUCUCUUCCUCCUCUCUAGCUUUGGUUGUUUCCUAAGUUGUUAAUUUUAGCCAUUCUCACAGGUGUGAGAUGGUAUCUCAUGGUUUUGGUUUGUAUUACCCUGAUGAUGAGUGAUGUUAAGCAUCUUCAUGUGUCUGUUAGCCAUCUAGAAGUAAUCUUCAGAAAAGUGUCUGUUCAUAUCUUCUACCCAUUUCUUCACUGGAAUAUUUGUUUUGUGGGUGUUGAGUUUGAUACAUUUCUUUACAGAUUUUGGAUACUAACCCUUUGUCUGUCAUUUGCAAAUAUCUUCUACCAUUCAGUUGGUUGCCUUUUAGUUUUAUUGUUUCCUUUGCUGUGCAAAAGCCUUUUAUCUGGAUGAGGUCCCAAUAGCUCAUUUUUACUUUUGUUUCCUUUGCCUCCAGAGACAUGUCUAGUAAGAAGUUGCUGUGGCCAAGGGCAGAGAGGUUGUUGCCUGUUUUCUCCUCUAGGAUUUUGGUGGUUUCCUUACAUUUAGGUCUUUCAUCCAUUUUGAGUUUAUUUUUGUGUAUGGUGUUAGAAAUUGUUCCAGGUUCUUUCUUCUGUAGAUUACUGUUUGCUGAAGAGACUGUCAUUUAUCCGUUGGCUAUUCUUUCCUGCUUUUUGGAAGAGUAGUUGGCCAUACAUUUCUGUAUCCAUUUCCGGGUUCUCUAUUCUCUAUUUUGUUCCAUUGAUCUAUGUCUGUUUUUGUGCCAGUACCAUACUGUCUUGAUUACAGCUUUGUAAUACAGCUUGAAGUCCAGAAUUGUGAUGCCUCCAGUUUUGGUUUUGUUUUUCAACAUUACUUUGGCUCUUCGGGGUCUUUUCUGGUUCCAUUCAAGUUUUAGAAUUGUUUUUUCUAGCUCUGUGAAGAAUGAUGGUGUUAUUUUGAUAGGGAUUAGCUGAAUGUGUAGAUUGCUUUGGAUAGCAUUGACAUUUUAACAAUAUUUGUUCUUCUAAUCCAGAGGCAUGGAAUGUUUUUCCAUUUGUGUCUUCUUCAAUUUCUUUCAUAAACUUUCUAUAGUUUCCAGAUACAGAUAUUUUACCUCUUUGGUUAAGUUUAUUCCUAGGUAUUUUAUGGUUCUUGGUACAGUUGUAAAUGGGAUUAAUUCCUUGAUUUCUCCUGCUGCUGCUUCAUUAUUGGUGUAUAGAAAUGGCCACAGCUUUCUGUACAUUGAUUUUAUAUCCUGCAACUUUGCUAAAAUCAUGGAUCAGUUCUAGCAGUCUUUUGGUGGAGUCUUUCAGGUUUUCCACGUAGAGAGUGAAAGUUUGACUUCUUUCAUACUGAUUUGGAUGCCGUUUAUUUCUUUUUGUUGUCUGAUUGCUGACUCUAGGACUUCCAGUACUAUGUUGAGCAACAGUGGUGAGAGUGGACAUAUCUGUCAUAUUCCUUUUUUAAAAAUAUAUAUAUUUUUACUGUUUAUUUAUUUUUGAGAGAGAGAGAGAGAGAGAGAGAGAGAGAGAGAAUGCAAACGGGGGCUGGGCAGAGAGAGAAGGAGACACAGAAUCCAAAGUGGGCUCCAGACUCUGAGCUGGGCCCACUAGGCCCCAAUGCAGGGCUCAGACUCAUGAACCAUGAGAUUAUGACCUGAGCCGAAGCUGGACACUUGAGCAACUGAGCCACCCAGGUGACCCUCCUGUCGUAUUCCUGACCUUAGGAGGAAAGCUCUGUUUUUCCCCAUUGAGGAUGAUAUUAGCUGUGGGUCUUUCGUAUAUGGCCUUUAUGAUGUUGAGGUUUGUUCCUUCUAUCCCUACUUUGUUGACUUUGUUGAGGGUUUUUAUCCAGAAAGGAUGCUGUAUUUUGUUAAAUGCUUUUUCUGCAUCCAUUGAGAGGAUCAUGUGGUUAUUAUCCUUUUAUUAAUGUUAUUUAUCACAUUGAUUGAUUUGUGGAUAUUGAACCAUUCCUGCAGUCCAGGAAUAAACCCCACUUGAUCAUGGUGAAUAAUUAUUUUAAUGUAUUAUUGGAUUCAAUUUGCUAGUACCAUGUUGAGAAUUUUUGCAUCUGUCUUUAUCAGGGAAAUGGUCCAUAAUUCUCCUUUUUAGUGGGGUCUUUGUCUGGUUUUGGGAUCAAGGUAAUGCUGGUAAUACACAGAAUCUGAAGCAGGCUCUGAGCUGUCAGCACAGAGCCUGACAUGGGGCUCGAACCCACAAACCGUGAGAUCAUGACCUGAGCUGAAGUCAGAUGCUCAACUGACUGAGUCACCCAGGUGCCCCUAAAAAUCCAGUCUAUCUUUAAGAUAAGUUUGGUAAAAGUCUUUUAGUCAUAUCAUUAAAAAAUUAAAAUGUAGAAAAGUAUAUAGUGAAAAAUCUGUUUCACAUCCUUACAGCCUAUUUGCUCAAUUUCCAAUGUACCCCAUCCCAAAGACAACUAGUUGGGAGGUUAUGGUAGUUUAUGCUAGUUGGCUAGACAACUAGUUGGGAGCCAAGGAAAUACAAAUACACUUAUUUUCCUACUUUCUUUUUUUUACACACAAAGAGUAGCCUAAUAUACAUAAUGUUCUGCAUCCUACUUUUUUUUCAUUUAAAAACAUUUUUGAGGGGCGCCUGGGUGGCUCAGUCAAUUGAGUGUCCAGCUUCGGCUCAGGUCAUGAUCUCGCAGUCUGAGUUUCGAGCCCCGUGUCGGGCUCUGCUGACAGCCCAGAGCCCGGAGCCUGCUUCAGAUUCUGUGUCCCCCUCUCUCUCUGCCCCUCCCCCACUCAUGCUCUGUCUCUCUCUGUCUCAGAAAUAAAUAAACAUUAAAAAAAAUUAAAAAAAAUAAAUACAAAAUAAAACCUUUUUGAGAUUCAUACGCAUAUACAAUGUUAUCACUUUUUGUACAGCUGUACAGAUUCCAUGGUAUGGCUAUACUAUGUGGUUUUUUUUUUUUUUUAUUUUUUAUAACCAGUCCCCUAUUGAUAGCCAUUUGGGAUUGUCUAUUAUGAACAAUGCUGUAAUGAAAAAAAUUGUUGUUGUGCAAAUUUAUGAUGAUACAAAUUCCUAAAAGACCAUUUCUGUGUUAAAAGUUAUAUGUAUUUGAAAUUUUGAUAGAUAAAUGCCAACUGCCUUCUGUAAGCACCAUACUAAUUGAAUUUCCACUACCAAUGUGUAUAUAUUUUCCGAUAGUCUUAUCAACAAAAUGUUAGCAUACUUAUUUCAUUUGAUGACUUGAUAGAUUGUCAUGAUAUCACAUAAUAUUUUUAAUUUUCAUUUCUCUUGGGAAAUGAGCAUCUUAUAUUUAAGAGCCAUGUAUAUUUUUUCUUUUCUGGGAACUCAGUGUAAACUGUUGUCAAUUUUUCUAUUGAUUUGUUUUAUUCAUGAAUUUUUAAUGUAUUUUUAGUUCUUUUUUUUUUUUUUAAAUUUUUAAUGUUUAUUUUUGAGAGAAAGAGCACAUGCAUGGGAGGGGCAGAGAGAGAGGGAGACACAGAAUCAGAAGCAGGCUCCAGAUUCUGAGCUGUCAGCACUCAUGGGGCCUGAACUCAUGAAUUGGGAGAUCAUGACCUGAACCAAAGUCAGAAGCUUAAAUGACUGAGUGAGACAGGUACCCAAGUAUACAUGCUGCUUCUUAAUAAAAGGACCUGCAGCAGAGAUAAUGUAUUCAAUAUGAUUGAGAAAAUUGAAAGGAAAAUUUUCUGCCAAGCUUAAUUCAUUUGCUGUGAUGGAGCAUAUUUCAGUCGAGCUUCUAUCAGCUAUGGCAAAAAGGGAAAGGUAUUUGGCAAAAGGAAACAAAUAGAAAACCGUUAGUGGGUUCUAAAAAUUCUAAAUGAACUAUAAAGCUAUAAGAGGAAUCCAUUACCCUGACUCUGUUUUGUUUUUUCCCCCUAGAACAAGACAAAUUCAUAGGAAAAAUGGAAAAGCAAAAGUUCUGAUGUUUUGCUUUUGAUUUCACCAACUCCAGGUGUUUUCUUUUUAGAAAGGUAAGAAAUUUAUCUCAGAAACUAACAAAUAUGCUGUGCUUGAAAGAUUCAUUCUCACUUAGAUUGCUGAAAAACAUCUCUAACAAUUCAGCUAAAAUAAGAAUGCUUACCUGUCUAAUAUUUUUUAUUUAUUUAUUUAAAUUAUUUAUUUAUUUAUUUAAGUAAUCUCUACAGCCAAAGUAGAGCUUGAACUCAUGACUCUGAGAUCGAGAGUUGCAUGCUCCUCUGACUGAGCCAGCCAGGCGCCCCCACGUGUCCAGUAUUUGAUUCAACUGAAAAUGGACACCAGAAAAUCCCUUUCUUUUUAAUAAAUUAAAUAAAAAUAAUUUAAAAUGAUUACUUUUGAAAGCACUGAUACUAUAAAAGGUAAUACUAAAAAAUAAAGGUCCAGAAGACAACAAAAUACUUGGAAACUUACAAGAUGGUAUAGGGACCAUUUGGAACCCCAAGGUCAGUAUGAAGAUUAUUUUAAGCUGAAGACAUUUGAGAAUCAAUACGUGCAGAAAGAAGCCUUCUCAGAGCUUCCCUUAUCUAACUAAAAGCAGAAACUUCUGGGAAGUGAGGCUGCAAGAAUUUCCCUGUCAGGGUCAGCCUACCCCAAGGAGAGAAAUCAAGAGUAAACCUACUAUAAAUCCCUUUCCCAGAAGAGUUUUAUGGCCAUGAAAAGUAAGGAAAACCACUCACAGCAGCAUAAACAAACUAUCACAAAGGUUCUUUCCAGAUGUUUUUUAAAAACCCAUUUGUUUUUCUUAAGUAAAUCUCUUUAUUCUUCCCACAAAGUCUGUUUUUCUCUACUAAAUUAGGUUAGCCUCUGACUAACUGUUCAAUGAGCUAGAUUCCUCCUUUAUUAACACCAUAUGCCUAUGAAUAAACCUUAAUUAUCAGAUCCCCAGUUGCUGAACUUAAAAGGGUGGAGGAAGUUUUUCCUCUCUAACAGUGGUCAAAGGGACAGCAGUUUUUUCAAUGAGGAAAAGAAAAUGGGGUGGUGGUGCAGGGAACUUCAAAUAUUUUCCAAAAAGAGGAAAUCUAAAUGGAUCAUAAACAAAGCCUUUUAAUUUCAUAAAUAUCCAGAAAAGGCAAAUUUAAAUCACCCUUCUGAUUGACAAAUAUUAAGAAUCUGACAGUACCCAGUGUUUGGCAAGAAUGGUGAACAACAGGAACACUCAAACACUGCUGGACAGAGUGUAAAUAGACGCAACAAUUUUACAAACAGCUUGACAUUUUCUAAAAAAUUGAAUAUACAGAUAUUCUAGGACCCAGCACUUUUACUCCCAGCUAUACACUCACCCUUGCUACUCAACUGCGGACUAUACACCAGAAACCUCAGCAUUUCCCAGCAACUUGUUAGAAGUGUAAAUUUCUGGGCCUUACUAUAGAUCAUAUGAAUUAAACUCUGCAUCUUAACAAGAUCUUGAGUGAUACAUAAGCACCUGUGCCCCAGGAUCCAUGGACAAGAAUGUUCUUGAUAGCUACAAACAAAUAAUCCCUUUAUCUAUGAACAGGAGAAAGUAUGCUAUAUUCAUAAAAUAUAUGAAAAUUAUAUGUUAAUGAAAAGGAACAAAUUACAGUUAAAUGCAACAUGGAUAAGUAUCACAAUGUUGAGAGAAAUAAGUAAGACAAAAAAAUACAUAGACUAUAAUUCAUAUAUGUAAUCUUCAGUAACAGUUACAACCAAACUGUGCUGUUUAUGUAUGAUAAGGUACAUUAAGGUAAUGAUACUAAAAAGGGGAGAAAGUAAAGCAAGAAAUUGAUUCAGGGUGAAAUCAGGGUGGAAUUUCUCCAGAGGAGAGGGGUGAGUUGUGAUCUUGGAGGGAGGGAGGCAGUUGUAGGGUGCUUACAGAACAGGCGUAUGUGUUGGAUAGUGUCUAAAGUGUUUCUAUUUUAUAAGUAUUUAAAUUUUUUUUUUUCAACGUUUUUGAUUUAUUUUUUGGGACAGAGAGAGACAGAGCAUGAACGGGGGAGGGGCAGAGAGAGAGGGAGACACAGAAUCGGAAACAGGCUCCAGGCUCUGAGCCAUCAGCCCAGAGCCCGACGCGGGACUCGAACUCACGGACCGCGAGAUCGUGACCUGGCUGAAGUCGGACGCUUAACCGACUGCGCCACCCAGGCGCCCCAUAAGUAUUUAAAUGGUAUAUAAGUUCUGUGUAGUUUUCAGUAUGUGUGUUAUAUUUCACAUUAGAUAAAUAAAUGCUAUAGACUUAUUUCCAACGAUAUCUGGAUGGCUGACAAUGAGAAAAACAAUAAACAGGAAGUAACAGCAAAGUAAAUUGGCACUGGAUAGACUAGAAAAAGAAAAACCAAGGCCUCCCAGUGUUUGUUCUAUUGAAAAUAAGGCCUUUUUUUUUUUUUUUUUUUUUUUUCCUGGGUAAGGCAAUCUUUAUUUUCCAUGAGGGAAGUUUGGGCAUACAGACUCAAAGAGUGGAUGUGUUCUAGGGGGAGGGGUAGAAGGAAGCAGGAGAAUGGGAGGAGGCUACAGACCAUGCCAGGGUGGAGGAGGAGAUGGGGAUGACAGAGGGUGGGGAGGGGUUGGGGUUGGGUGGCAGGGGUGGUAGUGGUAGAUGGACACAGGAUACAGCACUUAGAGAUCAAAGAGGAGGCCAUACCCCAAGCUCUCAACUUACAUGUUUUCCUCCUUCCCCUAGUCCUGCCCCCUGUCCACCUGUUUGCAUUUGACCACAGACCCUCACAGGAGUAGCAGUUCAAGAACCCUUUUCUGAGUCAAACAUAGAGGGAAAUGGUGUCCCAUGUUGGAACUAUCAGAGGAACAUCCCAAAAAUUGAGUUAAGGAAGAUUUGGCCACUAGGGCACCUAAAUAGGAAGUUAGGUAAGGUGAAGAAUGCCCAAAAAGAAAACAAUCAACCUCGGCUAUGCUUUCUGUAGCUUUUAUACCUAGAUCUGAUGUUCAUGGAGUGGCCUUGAAGCCUCUCAUUAUCAUGGCCUUGAUGGAGAUUGGUGAAUAUAUUAUUUUAAUCUGGAGAAAGUUCCUUUCUGUGUAAAAUAGACUAUGUAAGAUAACUAAACUUCAAAUUGUUGAAAAUAAACCUCACUUGAAAGAAAAAAAAAAAAACCCAGAAAUUCCUAAGAAUGUGUCCAAACAUUAACAGAUGAUAACAGGAACAAAGAAAUCCUUGGGUUCAUGACCACUUCAGAAUAUACUUCAGAAUACAACUCACUUUUUUUUUACAACUCAUUAAGAAGGCUGGGCUUAAAAUUGUACUCGGGACUCUAAGAAAGUAGGCAUAAGACAGAGGAAGAUAAAUUUAGGAUGGACUUUGAGAAAGAAGUGGUAAAGAAAUCUGAAAAAUGUUACAAAUUUCUGGAAAGAUAAAACAUAAGAAAUCACUAAAAUUUAUAAAAAUAAAAAUGGCCAUUAAUUGUCUUAGUCCAUUCCGGAUGCCAUAAGAAAAUACCACAGACUGGCUAGUUUAUAAACAACAGUAAUUUAUUUCUCACAGUUCUGGAAGUUGGGAAGUCCAAGAUCAAAGUGCCAAUAUGGUCACUUGGUUUACAACUGUGCUUUAGUGCUGUGUCCUCUCUUAGUGGAAGGGGCAAACAAGCUCUCUGGGGUCUCUCUUAUAAGAUCAUUAGUUCUACUCAUGAGGGCUCCACCUCAUGGAUAAGCCCCUCCCAAAGGACCUACCUCCUAAUACCACUACACCAGGCAUUAGGAUUUCAACAUAAGAACUUUUGGGGGAGGGGCGCCUGGGUGGCGCAGUCGGUUAAGCGUCCGACUUCAGCCAGGUCACGAUCUCGCGGUCCGUGAGUUCAAGCCCCGCGUCGGGCUCUGGGCUGAUGGCUCAGAGCCUGGAGCCUGUUUCCUAUUCUGUGUCUCCCUCUCUCUCUGCCCCUCCCCCGUUCAUGCUCUGUCUCUCUCUGUCCCAAAAAUAAAUAAACGUUGAAAAAAAAAUUAAAAAAAAAAAAGAACUUUUGGGGGAAGCACGUUAAGACCACAACAUCAAUGAAGCAAAAGUUGUUAAAGAAACCAUCAAAUGUGAGCUAUUUCAAAAGUAGGGGGCAAGAAAUUCAGGUUUUGGAAAAUAGAGCAGUUGCCACAGAAAGUAGAGAAUUGGGAUGAACCAGCCACAUUGAGCUGAGUAAAACCUUGAAGAUCAUAAGAGGUCUCCAAAUGUGGGGCGCCUACGUGGCUCAGUCGGUUAAGCAUCCAACUCCUGAUUUUUGACUCAGGUCAUGAUCUCAUGGUUGGUGAGUUUGAGCCCCACGUUGGGCUCUGCGAUGACAGCACAGAGCCUGCUUGGGACUCUCUGUCUCCCUCUCUCUUUGCCUCUCCCCUUCUCUCUCUGUCUCUCUCUCUCAAAAUAAAUAAAUAAGCAAACAAACAUUAAAAAAAAGAUGUCUCCAAAAGGAAAGAACAGAUUUGUUGAUUACAAAAUUGCAAAGAGAAUUGGAACAGUUAUUUUGAGAUGAAUUCUGAAACUGAGGACAAAAGUAAUGAAAAAACUUUAUGUAUAUACUGAAAUAAGCAAUAGAGAAUCAGGGCCCAAGCUCUAUUAAACAUGAAGACAGAAAUGCUUCACUAGGCAAGAUAAAGUGAUACCAGCCACUCACAAAUCAUAGAUUGUAGAUGGAAGUUGGAAGACCACAGAAGGAAGUUGAAAGAGUAGUCCUGUUCAUUGCGAUUAUUCCAGGUUUAACUAGAAACAGACCCUAAAGCAGAGUAUGAAGAAACUAAAAACAAAUGUUAUGUACUAGGUUGAAUAGUAUAUCUCCCAAAUCCAUGUCCACCUGGAACUUGUAAGUGUGACUUUAUUUGGAAAUAGGGUCUUUACAGAUGUAGUCAAGUUAAAAUGAGAUUAUGCUGGAUUAGAGCAACUGGUGUCCUAAGAGGGGAAUUUGGACACAGAUAUACACAGAGGGAAGACGGAUAGAGAUAGGAGUGAUGCUGUCAUCUGGCAAGAAUGCCAAAAUUUGCUAGCAACCACCAGAAGCUGGAAGAGUCAAGGAAGGAUUCUUCCCUAGAGACUUUAGAGUUGGUUUGACCUUGCUGAUGCCUCAAUGUUUGACUUAUGGCCUCCAGAACUGUGAGAGAAUAAAUUUCUGUUGUUUUAAGCCACCCAGUCUGUAGUAUUUACUAUAUAGCCCUAGGAAACUAACGUACCCUAUGAUCAGAUGGCAGAAUGAGAAAGGUCAGGAACAAUUAGUUGAAAUAAAACAGUAAAAGCAGAGAAUUCAAUAUCUGGAAAAUUAAUACAAAACAAGAAGAUAACAUUGCCAUUCUGUAACAAAGUCCACUAAAUUUUUUUUUUUUUUUUUACACAAGGACAAUUUUAAUCCUCCAUUAUCCUGCAGUAACAUCCACUGCUGGCUUUAUAUGUAUUAAAACUGCAUUUGCCAAGAACUGUGAACAUUGAGAAUCUUUACAUGAAGUCACAUGGUUGAUACAGGUACAUAGAUACCUUCUAGCACCAACAGAAUACACACACAAUACAUAUCAAAUGGUCUUGAUGGAUAAAUUUGCUUCAUUAGAUACUCAUAUUUAGUAAAAUUCACAGUUAAUACAGAAUUUCAUUUUCUUAAUUUAUCUUUAUUACACAUUUUUUCUAAGAUUUUAAGUAUUUUUUUUUUUUCAACGUUUUUUUAUUUAUUUUUGGGACAGAGAGAGACAGAGCAUGAACGGGGGAGGGGCAGAGAGAGAGGGAGACACAGAAUCGGAAACAGGCUCCAGGCUCUGAGCCGUCAGCACAGAGCCCGACGCGGGGCUCGAACUCACGGACCGUGAGAUCGUGACCUGGCUGAAGUCGGACGCUCAACCGACUGCGCCACCCAGGCGCCCCUAAGAUUUUAAGUAUUUAAGAAAAACACCACUUAUUCAUUCAAGGUUGUAAUUUGUAGGGCAAUAAACAAUGGGUUCUAAAUUUCUUAAAGGUGUCUAUAGCAAUUUAAAAUACCAGGAGUCUUCUUUUCAAUUUGUAGCACCUGACUUGAGACCUUUAUUAAGUGCAAAGUUUAAGUUCAUUUAGUGCAUUCAUUAAAAUUCAUUGUCACUGUUUCUCUUGUGAGAAAGACUUAUUUCAAUUGCUAUUUCUCAGACUACCUAUAUAUAGAGAGAGAGAGCAUGGAUGUAUAUUCUUUCCAAUUGGGUAGAAUUUUAUUUUCAGAAUUUAUAGCUAGAACAAGAACUCACAGCAUCUCUGAAUGGCCUUUCACUCAAAACAAUGGUGAUAGUAAUGUAUAAAAUGGAUUUGGGGUCUUCCCCCCUAUUUAACAUUACCAAACAUGUUUCCAAAGUAUUCUUGGAAAAUAUUUAAAAAUAUAUGAAUAAUCUACCAUAUGGUACAUGAUCAUUCUCUAACUGUUUCUCAAUUGUUCAUUUACAUCAGUUGCAAUUUUUUUAUGAGUAACAUUGUGGUGAACAUCCUCACCCACAGUUUUAAGCAAGAAUGAUUCUAUCUUUAGGAUAAUGUCAACUAAGUAGCUUACUGAGUCAGACUGCAGAUGAUUUUAAGGCUUUAGUAUACUUUACCAAAUAAUCUCCAGAACGUGAACAACUCCUACCAACAUUAAUUUACUGUGAUCACAAAGUGAACUUGGUAUCAGUGAAGGAAAUUCAACCACAAAUCUAUUAGAUGCCCAAGCAUCUCAAAACUAUCACACCAAAGAAGCAAGGAGACAAUAUUAAUGAUGAUUAAGCCAAAAUUCAAAUUCUUUAAAACAUUACUCAGCUUCAAAUCAUGAUUUAAUUAAAUCAUGAUUAUUUUAAGAAAAUUAACUCAUUAAAUCAUGAUUAUUUUAAGAUAAUAAACAGAAAAGCUUUGCACAAAAAAAUGUACUGUUUUUCCAAAAAUAAAAAGUUAAAAAGAGAAGAAGUCAGUACUAAAUGACCAAAAAUUUUUAUUUGACUAAAUUCUAUUUCAUGCGCAAGCAUGACAGUCUCCCCUGUUUUUUAGACUUUGGCAAUUAAAAGAACACGCAGCCUUAUACAGAACAGUGAAAAUGCCAAGGGUGAGAGUAGUCUACAGUUUUACUGUAGGAUAAAUAUAUAUAUUUUUAAAAGGCCUCUCUCCCUUUGGCCAUAUCUACUCUCAGUUCAAAUCAUUAAAUAGGGACAAAUUUUCAAAAUCACUUCUUUACUUCUCCAAGAUUUUCGAUACUACCAUCAUUCACCACCUCCGGCCAUAUUUCCUGAAUGACAUCAGUGAUGUAAUCUGUAAAGUCUUCCUGAAUGAUGAUUUCAUCCUCUCCUGUUACUGAGAUACCACAGGAGAAUUUUUGAGCAAAAAAUCUUUGUACUUCUUUUAGAUCAAUUUCAAAAGUUGCAGGGCCACAUACUCUUGUUACAUAUUUCUUCUUUGCUCUGGGAAUUUUGGCUAUCAUAACCUUUUGUGGUACAUUCUUCUUUUUUUGCUUUAUUUGACCCCUUCCACCUGUCUUCUGCUUUUUCUUCUCUUCUUCUUCCCCUGGUGUGCCUUGACCCUCACUAGUUCCAGCCUCUUGUUUGGGUGAAUUUUCUAUAGUUAAGUUUUGCAAACUCAUUUGGAAAAUUCUUCUCUAACCACUGUUCACAUUUAGCGACAUCAGGCAUAUAUUCACAGUACUCUGUUGGUAAUGAACAGAGUCCACAGUAGAGGACUUAAAGUGGGUAGUCUGCAUCUAACUUGGUAUUUGCCCAGCUCUCCUUUGCAAUCAUGCCUACCAGAUUCAGAAAUAUCAGCAGGCAUCUCAAAAACCCAGCUGGUCACGCAACCCCUGCUGCCUCCACUCCACCACUACUGCCAGCUCCACUGUAAUUUGACCCUUGUCUAGGAUACAGAAGGAACUGUUGCUAAAGAGAAAAAAAAUCUUCCUAAGGCAGAAAUGAAUUCAAGUUAUCAGAAUUAACAUCUCACUCACAGUGCCUUCUUUUUUUUUUUCAAUUUUUUUUUCCACGUUUAUUUAUUUUUGGGACAGAGAGAGACAGAGCAUGAACAGGGGAGGGGCAGAGAGAGAGGGAGACACAGAAUCGGAAACAGGCUCCAGGCUCUGAGCCNNNNNNNNNNNNNNNNNNNNNNNNNNNNNNNNNNNNNNNNNNNNNNNNNNNNNNNNNNNNNNNNNNNNNNNNNNNNNNNNNNNNNNNNNNNNNNNNNNNNNNNNNNNNNNNNNNNNNNNNNNNNNNNNNNNNNNNNNNNNNNNNNNNNNNNNNNNNNNNNNNNNNNNNNNNNNNNNNNNNNNNNNNNNNNNNNNNNNNNNNNNNNNNNNNNNNNNNNNNNNNNNNNNNNNNNNNNNNNNNNNNNNNNNNNNNNNNNNNNNNNNNNNNNNNNNNNNNNNNNNNNNNNNNNNNNNNNNNNNNNNNNNNNNNNNNNNNNNNNNNNNNNNNNNNGGCUCAGAGCCUGGAGCCUGUUUCCGAUUCUGUGUCUCCCUCUCUCUCUGCCCCUCCCUCACUUGCACUCUGUCUCUGUCUCUCUCUCAAAAUAAACAAACAUAAUAAUAAAAAAAAAAAAGGCAGACCUAAUUUCAGUUCCUGAUGUUACCAUCCUGUGUGUUACUUUGGGCCUUUUAGUUAAUCUUCCUAAAAAACAUUCCUCAUCUCAAAAAAUGAGUAAAAGGUAUUAAUUACCUAAUAUGGUGCAGGCUUUGUAAAGCAUCCAUUAUGUAGUAGGGACUCAUAGUAGUGCACUUCCUUUUUCCUUAACCUAAGAUGAUAAAAUGCUACUUAAUAAGACUUCGGUGCUGUGCUUAUAAAAUGUACAUGCCAGAAAGGGUACCUUACUCUGAAAUUUAUGCUGCUGUCUUAUUUCCCUCAUGAGCCUGUGGUGGUGAACUUAACCAAAUAUAUUUUCUAAUCUCCCACCCUUAGUGACAGACUGAUACAUAUACCAAAUCUUACACUGUAAACACUUGACCUGUUGAAAGAAAAGUAGAGUAGAAAGAUUUUUUAAAAGGAACAAGUACAAGGUGAAAAACUUGCUGUUAUAAUGAACAGAGGUCUUUAGAAUUGAUUGAGGAAGAUUCCUUUCUCCCCCUGCUCUACCCUCUUCAUCACUGCAAAGAUGAAAUCACCUUGUAUUGAUUCUUUAAAAAGGAAAGUAAAGUAUAAUGGAGGGACUUUAUAAAGUAUAAAACAAGGACAGGCUUAGAGGUUAGUUUGUUAUUGUUUAUUUGUUUUUUAUUUAAUCUUUUCUCUACAUAAUCCUCUACAGAUGCUUCAUUUUUAGGGUUAGUAACUGCUAUCUUGAUGGAGGCAAGUGGGAAGGCCCCUGGAAGCAGGAUCCCCUGGGUAAGAAAGAUUCCAUGCUCAAAGAAGACUUGGCUUAGGUUUUGUCAGGAGUGGAGAAAAAUGGGUCAUUUUACCCAGACGAUCUUGUCUAAAAGCUGCCAUCUAGUGUUCAUUUCUGAGAAUACAUGCUGACAUACUAAUCCUGUGGUUCUCUAUCCCAAGGACCAUUUUUAUUGAUGUUUUUUAUGGUUAUGCAUAGAUUCUAAGACAAUUUCGUUACCAAAAGGAACACAAUGUUAGAAGGAAAUUGUUUUUCAGAUAUUUUCAUCAUAUACAUAUAGUACUGCCAAAAUAGGACUUUAGAAUAAUAACAGUAUAAUAAUAUUUCUGAAGGAAAUUAUCUCGUAUUGAACUGCUGUAAUAGCAAUUUAAAAAAAGUAACUCAGGUUAUCUUAUCCAUCCUUCUAGUUAGUAAAUGUUGCCUAUAGUUUUUAUUGGAGAGAGGGAGAGAAAAACCAUUUAUUGUAUAUUUUCAAUAUGCCAGACUCUAAAAACAUUAUCUUAUAUAAGUCUUACCGCAAUCCUUUGAGUUAAGCAUUCUUUUCUUUUAAAAAAUAUUUUUAUUUAUUUUUGAGAGAGAGAGAAGAGAGCAUGAGAGAGGCCAAGAGAAAGGGAGACAGAGAAUCUGAAGCAGGCUCUGUGCUGACAUCAGAGAGCCCAAUGCAGGGCUUGAACUCAUGAACCAUGAGAUCAUGACCUGAGCAUAAGUCAGACGCUUAAUGGCCUGAGCCACCCAGCACCCUUGAGUUAAGUAUUCUUUAUUUUUUGCCCCUCAUCUUUACUGAAGUGGAAUUGACAAAGGAAAUUUGAGUUAGUAUUCCUAACACUAUUUUACAUAUGAGAAAUUGUAGUGAAAUAAUUAACUUUAAAAAAAAUUUUUUUAAUGUUUAUUUACUUUAGAGACAGAGACAGACAGAGUGCGAGUGGGGGAGGGGUAGAGAGAGAGGGAGACACAGAAUCAGAAGCAGGCUCUGGGCUCUGAAUGGUCAGCACAGAGCCCUACAUGGGGCUUGAACUCAAAAACUGUGAGAUCAUGAUGAGAGCCGAAGUAAGACCCUUAACCAGCUGAGCCACCCAGGUGCCCCUAAUUGACUUUUUAUCAAAGAGCAAGUUGACUAAAGAACUCACAUCUGUCAUACUCAUGGUCAGUGCGCGUUCAUUUAUACCACAAUACCUAGUAAACUUUUUGAAAUUCAGGGGAAGUCUUACAAACCCCUUUUACUGCUUUCAUAAAUUGUUCAAAGGCCUAAACAACUCUAGAAAUCAUGGCAUUAAAAGGAACCUCUAAAGGGGUGCCUGGGUUGCUCAGUUGGUUAAAUGUGUGACUUCGGUUCAGGUCAUGAUAUCAUGGCUCAUGAGUUCCAGCCCCGUGUAAGGCUCUAUGCUGACAGCUCAGAGCCUGGAGCUUGCUUAAGAUUCUGUCUCUCUCUCUCUCUGCCCCUCCCCUGAUCGUGUUCUGUCUCCCUUUCUCUCUUUCUCUUUCUCUCCCUCUCUCAAAAUAAACAUUAAAAAAAUUUAAUAAAAAAAAAUAAAAAGGAACCUCUAAACUCCCACAUUGCUCCUUAGGAUUAUUUCCUUAAAACAGAUUGUAGUUUUGAGACCUGAAUCAAAAUGUACACAAUUCUUUUUUUUUUCCAAUAAAGUUUAUUUAUUUAUUUAUUUUGAGAGAGAGAGUGCAAAUGAGGGAGAGGCAGAGAGAUGGGGAGAGAGAGAAACCCAAGCAGGCUCUGCAUUGGUAGCACAGAGCCCGAUGUGUGGCUUCAACUCAUGAACCAUGAAAUCAUAACCUGAGUCGAAACCAAGAGUUGGACUAAACCACCCAGGAGCCCUGAAAAGUUACAAAAUUCUAAGUUACAAACACUUGGGUGGUUUUAUUCUUGAGUUUUGCUAAAGCAAAUUCAUGAAAUGUAUGGGUUUUUUUAAAGAUAUACUUUAAUUAUAAUACAUUUGACUGAAAUCCCAUAUUUUAUAUUAUAUUUACUUAAACCUUUAGCUAUUCUGUAUUACUUCAGGAAUGCCAGUUCUUGCAUGGAUCAACCAAAUGUGCCAUGCCCCCAAAUUUCAAUUUUUCAUUGUGUACAGACUGUACUAAUCACAACAGAGAAAACACACAGUUAAUUUUUAAAAAUUAAAAUAUUAAAUUUCCUAGAUUCAUUAUGUAAUGUAUUUGAUCACCUUUUGAAAUUUGAUGAGUAUUUAACGCUAAAUUCCCUAAUUUGGAACAAUUAUUUUAGGGAGCUAGUAUGAUUUAUUAAUGAAUCAUUUAGCAUAGAAAAGAGGACUCAUUGAUUGCCAGAGUCCAGCUCCAGCAGGUCCAGGGGUUCCCAAAGGAAGAACGGCGUCGGUGAAAAUAAAACAAAACUAAAAUAAAAAACUAAAACUAAAAUAAAAAAACUAAAAAUAAAUAACUAAAAUAAAAAACUAAAAUAAAAACAAAAAAUAAAAAUGGACACAGACAACAGCAGUGUGUUGAACUGGCCGAUUUAUUGUAGUAAACAUGCAUUAUAUAUGCUAGUGAUUUCCUUGUAACAUACGUCAUCUAUGUUUUUCUAACAUUACCUAAUUUUAAAAAUGUUCCUAUGUGUAAACAACCUUUAAGAAAUAACAUGGUGAUUUUCCCCUAACUUUCCCACAUACCCUUUGAUUAUAGAUUAACUUCUUACAUUAUUCCAUUAUGCAUCUGCAUUUAUCUAUAAUCUACAAAGCAUUCGCUUUGCUGUUCUCGUGAAAGGCCCUCCAUUUCUCAACACCUCAAGUGGAACAGUUACAGGGACAUGACCUCCUAACCACAUGAGGCCAGAAGAACAAUGUGUUCGCCUCGGUCCGAGGUGCCAGAAAGGGGCUGAAAAAGCCUUAGAAACCCAUGCCCCAUACAUUCUCAGGGAGACAAUGCACCUAGGAACCAGUGAACCAUUCUAUACCUUAACCGACUAGGUUCAGUCAUCAUCUGGAAUGCCUCCGGGGGGCCAGGUGGGCCUAGGGGUUGAAGUCACUUGUGCCCAGAGAUACACUCCUUAGUUGCCGGAGUGGGGCUUUCAAAUCCAUAUGUCUCUCCUUAGUUGGCUGCCUUUGCUGGCAAAGGUAUGAGGCUAUCCUUCCUGUAAGUAGAGGAGUCUCCAUGGGGGAUGGCAAGGGCUAAAUGUAAGGCCGCACAAUUUCUUGCGGAACCUUAUUUUUCUUCCCUAAUGGUUCUUUUCCCAGGGGGCCUGCUGAGGGCAAUUCCCCAACAGACAAUACCCCAGGUAGUUUUAAGGCCAAAUUACCUAAAAGUGGGAGUACAAGAAGCUUCACUGUCUGUGGGCCGCCCUGCAGUCACCAAUCCAUCCACAGCCCAGGCCCUGCCACUCAGGCUGGGAUAGCUUGGCUUCCAGCAAUUGAUUUGACAUUCAUCUUUCUAAAACCUGAGCUGCUUUUCUUAGGCAAGAUUAUUUUCCUUCAAUCCUGACAACAGUUCUGUUAGGUUUGUAAUAAUUGUGUGAAUUUUUAGGCAAACUACUGCAAAUACCCCUCAUUUUAGGGUGCUCAACACAAUAAAAUUUUAUUGUUUCCAUCACUUUCUUAACAUGGAUUGGUGGAGGUUCUGCUCCAUGCAUUCAUUUAAGGAACUAGGCUCCUUCUCUCUAGUACUCUACCACCUUCAAGGCAGGUAGGAUUGUCUAAAUCCCAGUUUUCCCCCUUUAGGAGUCUGGCUUCAGGGCCAUGUUUUUUAUCCAUUCCUUCCCUAUGACUUGUUCUUACCAACCCAGAGUUAGAUUUCUCUUUUUGAGCCUAAGAUGUGCUUUUAUUUAUUUAUAAAUUUUUUUAAUGUUUAUUUUUUUUUGAGAGAGAAAGACAGAGCAUGAGUGGGGAAGGGGCAGAGAGAGAGGGAGGCACAGAAUCUGAAACCUGCUCCAGGCUCUGAGCUGUCAGCAGAGCCUGUCGAGCCCAAUGCUGGGCUCGAACUCGGAAACGGCGAGAUCGUGACUGGGCUGAAGUCGGUAACUUAACCAACUGAGCCACCCAGGUACCCCUAAGAUGUGCUUUUAUAAAGUUGACUAUAAAAUAAUUUAAUUCAUAGAAUAUUAAGCAUCAGACACAGUCCUUCACACUGGCAAGUUAUCUUUUUGGCUAAAUAAUUCCACAAAUACGUUCAGGCAAAAUAUUCAGAAACAAAUUCUUCACAUUUCAUACAUAUUUAUGAAUUGAAACUUCAUGAUGUUACUUUUGAAAAUAUAUGUAUAGACCUAUCUGUAUAUAUGUAUUUUAAUUGACUGGCAAAUGGGCAGUUGUUCUUCAGACCUUAAAUAUAGAUGCACACAUACAUAUAUUUAUUUUUAACUUAAGAAACUGUAACACAUUUGUAGCAUUAUAAACUGUUUUUAGAGGGUAAAAUUAUUUUAUCUGCAAAACAGAGAUUACAUGUUAAAACGGAGCUUUCACUUACACAUAUUUAGAUUUUAAUACUUACUCCUGCAACAUUAAGAUUCUUUUUUUUCCCCAAAAAAGCCGACAAGUUCUGUACUCCCUGGCCUUUAAUAAUUUCUUUGAAUAGUGUGAAAUUGCCUUAUUUUUAUAUAUUUCCAGUUACUGAAAAAUUAGGUUUGGGGCAAUUAAGGUGUUAAAUUCACCAAAACACAUCUAGGGGGCCCAUUUAACAUGAAGAGAUGGCUUCCAUUGGAGCACAGAUCUUUUAGGGAGUAGCUGGGUACUCUGGAUGCAUCCUUUCUAUGGUAUGACUUCCUAAGGACUAUAGGCUAUAGGCUUUUGGUGAUAAUUCAGGCAAUUAGUCCUAUAUGGAGGCAGUUUGGUAGAAGAUUCCUGCAUCAACUAGUUCCGGGCAUCCCAGAAGGAAACCUGGAAGGUUUAGUCAGUAUAGGGUGAUUUUUAAGUUAAUAGCAACAUCAGGGAGUUGCUGAGGUUUAUUGGGGCAUUCAUUUUUCCAAUGGCCAUGCUGUUACCAUGGUUACAUUUGGACUACAUAGUCCAUUGGGGGGAAAUGGCCUGUAUUUGGUGCUUAUCAUAGGAACCCAAUAAGGAAGUAUUUACUUUUAGACCUAAGCAAGAGGGCCCUGUACUUAGUGGCCCACACAUACCACAAACACUAAACUUGUAAGGCCUGUAGGAGGCAGGAGAAAGUUCUUUUCCUUCUCUUUCUCCUCCUCCUCCUCCUCCUCCUCCUUCUUCUUCUUUUCAUGGUUAUCCUCUUUUUUUUUUUUUUUGUAUUUUUUAUUUAAUUUAUUUUUUAAAUUUAUAUCCAAGUUAGUGUGUAGUGCAACAAUGAUUUCAGGAGUAGAUUCCUUAAUGCCCCUUACCCAUUUAGCCUAUCCCCCCUCCCACAACCCCUCCAGCAACCCUCUAUUUGUUCUCCAUAUUUAAGAGUUUCUUAUGUUUUGUCCCCAUAACUGUUUUUGUGUUAUUUUUGCUUCCCUUCCUUUAUGUUCACCUGUUUUGUAUCUUAAAGUCCUCAUAUGAGUGAAGUCAUCUGAUAUUCGCCUUUCUCUGACUGACUAAUUUCAGUUAGCAUAAUACCCUCCAGUUCCAUCCACAUAGAUGCAAAUGGCAAGAUUUCAUUCUUUUUGAUUGCCGAGUAAUACUCCAUUGUGUGUAUAUACCACAUCUUUUUUAUCCAUUCAUCCAUCGAUGGACAUUUGGGCUCUUUCUAUAGUUUGGAUAUUGUUGAUAGUGAAAGUUCUUUUCCUUCUACCAUCAUAGGUUCUCUGGCUGAGUCCCUGCAAAUUAGACUGAUGAAAGACAGACUAACAAGAGAAAAACAAGUUUGUUAAUAUGUGAAUCGUGUAUAUAUGUGGGAGUACUCAGAGAUAAGUAACUCAAAGGGAUGAUUAGAACUUGGGCUUAUAUAGCAUUAAAAAAGUUUUUUUUAGUAAUCUCUACACCCAACUUGGGGCUUAAACUCAUGACCCUGAGAUCAAGAGUCACACACUCUUACCAUCGAGUCAUCCAGGUGCUCCAUGGCUUAUAUAGCAUCUUAACAAAAGAACAAUAAAUGUUUAGAGAAGUGAUAAAACAAAGGAAUUGAGUUUCUAGGGCAGCAAAUUGUGGGAAGGCAAAUAUAUGGGGAACUAAUGGAACAUAAAAUUAGUAAAAUUUGUCAUGGAGAUUCCACUGGUGUAGUCUCCGAGCUGGUAAGGGUAUAGAAUUGUCUCUGGUCAUUAACUUCUGUUCUUUCUGGUUGAGAGAAGAUGGGGAAUACCUUUAUGAGUUUAUGUUUUGCUUUUAGGCAAAUAGGGGGAGGAAAGAAAGCUUUUUUUUAUACUUGAUUCUUCUCAGUUGCCUUCAGCUCAAAAUAAUCCUGAUGCCAAAAUGAUAUGUUUUGAAGUGGUGUGUUCUGCUACCCUUCAGAUCCCAGGGAGAUUAACACUUCAAGACAUCUCUUAUCUUGGACAUAUUCUGAUGUCCUCAAAAGAAAAUGUGACUGCAUCCAAAUGCUAUGAUGGCUCCCCAGUUGUGCAUUGUGACAUUGUGCCAACAUCAGAGAUGGAUACUACUGCAGAGUGGAGAGGUUCUGAGAAGCAGAAGCAUGUAAGUAGGACAUCAUAGCAAAUUACAUUUUUUGCCAGAUCCUUUCAGAUAGAUGAAUGCAAGGGAUUCUUACAUAACAAUGACCAUUUGCCAGUAGUGUGGCGCAUCCAUUUCUUGCUUCUCUUCAUAUUUCAGUGAGUGGUUCCAGAAUCACUCAUGAAUUAGUUUAGCACAGUGUUUGCAAAGCUUUGGAAACAUUUAUGAAUAUUAAUUUAUAUUGUAUUUAAAGUCCUCUACGUGUAUGACAAGACCUGAUAUACAUGAAAUAUGCUGUUAACAUUGUCAACUAGAUGAAAAAAAUUGGCAACUAGCUGGACAUUGAAUGUUAAAAUCAUGUUAGUUUUAUUAAAAAAAUUUUUUUUAAUGUUUAUUUAUUUUAGAGAGAGAGAGUGAGAGAGUGGGGAAGGGGCAAGGAGGGUGUGGGGGACAGAGGAUCUGAAGCAGGCUCUAUGCUGACAGCAGCAAGCCCAAUGCAGGCUUGGACUCACAAACUGGAAGAUCAUGACCUAAGCUGAAGUUGGAAGGCAGCUGUGCUCACCACUAUACCACCAACGCUGCACGACCUGAGCUGAAGUCGGAAGCUUAAGCCAUUGAACCACCCAGUUGCCCCUUAGUUUUCUUUCCUUCCUCCCUCCCUCCCUCACUUCCUUCCUUCCAUCCUUUCUUUUUAAAUUUUCAUAACAGUGUUUAAUAAGGGAGUACCUGGCUGGAUCAGUCAGUAAAGUGUGUAGCUCUUGAUUUUGGGGUUGUGAGUUGAAGUCUCGUGUUGGGUAUAGAGAUUACUUAAAAACCUUAAAUAUAUAUGUGUGUGUGUGUGUGUGUGUGUGUGUGUGUGUGUGUGUAUACACAUGUAUAUAUGUGUGUGUGUAUAUAUAUAUAUAUAUGUAUAUAUUUACUAAGAUUUAAUUACAUUUUAUUACUCAUUGCUGUUAUUACAAUCACUCAUGUCACCCGACCUCCUAAGUAGUGUUAGAAGUCUGAUAUUGAAAAAAAUAAAAUGAAAGAAAGAAAAAGAAUGAACGAACCCUGGUAAUGUGCUCCUUAUUAGGAAUAUACCCAAUUAUGUGCUAGUAUAGGGAAAAUUCAAAGUUUUGUGAGUGUGUAACCAUGAGUAUCAUGCUCCCUUUAUCUUCACUGUUCCCUUCAAAACCAAGAAAACAUAUGGGUGUAGAGACCACAUAAGUUUUCAAAUAAGCUGAAAUUAGAGUUUUGUAGCAUUGAAAUGGAGUCUUUUCACCAAAGUACAAUAUAACUUGAAAUAGGAAACAGCAAUUGGACUCUGCCCAAAUCUGUUGACUAGCAUUAAGAUUGGGCUAAUCUUUCUUAGGUGGGAACACUACAGAAGAAAGUCCCACAGAGACUGGCAGUUGAGACACUGUCAGGCAGUUAUGAAAAUUCAUUUUACCUUUGCUGAACAUUUGUAUGUUGAGCCAGCUGCCUCUGACAGCACAAAAGUUCUAAAUUUGACACCUUGAAAGGCUGGUGUCGAAGUGCAAAACCAAAGGCUGCAACAACCUGACUUUGAUACAGUGAAUGGAACCAGAGUGCACCUGCACUUAAAUUCUUUCAAUUUCAGCCCACAGUGGGCUCCAAACAUUCCUGAUAAUGUUCCUGUUCAGGUUCCCUUUUUGAAGGCUCCAUUUGUGGGGAUAGAACAUGCUCCAUACAGGGGCUUCCAGCAGAUGGCUCUUGCCCUCCCCUAAACUUACAGCACAGCCAUUGCUUAAGUGCCCCCUUGAAAAAGGUCCAAAGAAAGAUAUGUAAGCCCAUCUAUGACAUUACCACUUCACAGAGGCUGCAGAGACCCCAGGCCUGAGGGAGACUCACCACAUGACAUGAUCUCUCCAUUCCAGAGCUCCAAGGCUGAUGAGACCUGCAGCUGGUGGGUGGGAACUCACACCUCUAAGGUCACUGCUCUGGAAGGCCCUAUGCUAUGGUGUGGGAAUUUAUUACUAAGUGGGGUGCAUUGACUCCAGCUGGUUCCCACCCUACAGGAAUCCCACAGGGGACUAGGUAUCAUUUCCAACUUGUAUUUUCCAGCUGUGUGAUGACCGGUCAGUCUAACAAGGAAGUAGGAUGCUUCAGUGUCUGUGGCUUUAGUUCAGGUGCUGUGUGGAAGAAGCCUAGAGAACUUAGGUCAAACAGUUGACCAAAGUGAUGUAGGGCCUGGCCUAAUGGUGCUCACUUUCACCAGUAGAUGCAAGCUCAUGUGAAGCACCUCAAACCUAGCAGGUCACAUGAGGCCCUAAGAAGCAGGAACCAUUGGCAUCCAGGUCUUUCUGUCUACAUGUAGGCAAUCUACUGCCACCUUGGUGGAAAAAUUUCUCAAGUGGUACCCUUAGUACUGUACUGUGCCACCUUUCUUCUGCUACUUUCUCUUCCAAGGUCCUGGAGGAGUAACUGUCCUUCCCAGCACACAGUGUUGGUGGAGGGUCUGGAACCAGGCAGCUAAGAGGUAUGGAGACCACUGGAACACAGACAGUUCCUCUUAGGUUUGCUGUGAUAUGCCCAUUGUCACCUUGAGUGAGCUGCAGACACUGACAUCUUACCCAGCCCUGUUGGACUUUUGCUGUCUCAGCUUGCAGCUCUCUGGAGGACCAGAGUUGGUAGUCCUGACCAGUUGAAUAUUGGUGCAUGCAGAUGUCACUAGAUGCCAGACCCAGCCCUGUCCUUCGCCCCAUGGGCCCCUCUUUUUCUGAAACCACCAUCCCCAGAGAGUUAGUUCUCCUGGGAUAUUCCCCAGACCCUUUGGCCAGCUUUUCCACCUUUCCCUUCUGGGGUCAAUACUUUACAGUGUCUACAACCAAAAUAUCUCCCCACCAGGAGAACUUUCACCAUCCACUGGUCAUUUAGAACCCUUCUUCAUUCGUGGACAUCCAUGGGCCUUAUUCCACUUCACCUUUCUGGUAGGCUAUCUUGGUCUUAAGACAGUACAUGUCUCCCUCCUGUAUAAAUGGAUCAUCCCUUUGGCCCUGAAGACUAUUAAACUGACCCCCAUUUGUGUUUUUAGACCUAAGCCCUUCAGCUCAGAUUGUCCUUUCCUCAAGGUCCUUGAUUACCAACCCAUCAUAGGACUGGAGUAACUAACCGACCUUUCCCUUUUCAAGGUAGAAGUUUCUUUACAUUCUUUCCUCGGGCUACUUUGUUAAAGCGCAUUUCAAAAUAAGGUAUACAUUUUCCUUUGAUGUUUAGUUUUAGCAGUUUUAUCAAACAGUAUUUUUCUCUUGGAGCUGCCCUGGUAUUAUGCAUUUCUGAACCAAACAACUCAUAUCUGAUUGUUCUAUCAAAAAAAUAGGUUUGACAUUAGCUGCAAUGGAACACCACCUCAAAGCCUGUCCUCUUUGAACUCUCCUGCUUGGGUCUCAGCUGCUGCAGCAAGGAAGCCUAGAUAAGGCCAUAUGGAGGAGAACUGAAACCUUUGGGCAACAGCCCCAGCUGAACUUCCAGUUGGCAUCUGCCACCAGCUGUCAGCUUUGGGAGUGAGGUCGUUUGGACCUUUCUUCUGCACAUCACAGAAUGGGAGUCCUUUUCCAGAUGUACUCCAUGUGUGAGGUUUGGAAAAAAACACAUAGUAGUUGAUAAUAUUGCAGUGUGAUGGAAAAAGAAUGGCAAAUAAGAUCUAGCAGAGAAGAAUGCCAAUAGGAUCCCUGUGAGGUGGGCAUUCCAGACAGCAAGAGGGAUGGAUGUUCCAAGAGUGGGCAAGCUUGAGGCGAGCAAAAAAGACAUCCAUUAUGAUGAAGUCAUAGGUAUUGAGCUGGAAAUAAAUAAGGACAGGUGGCUAGGUCCGGAGACUAAAUAGAGAUUUCUUGUGGCAGAAAGAUGAAUACCCAAUACUUGUUAGAGGUGAUUGGUUUAGAAAGGGUUUUACCUUAUCCAGAUACUUGAAGAACCAUUAUACAGGGGGCAAAGAAAAGAAUGCCCAACAACACUAUUACUAAAUUAUACUUGAAUUUAAAAAUAAAGCCUCUUUCAUUCUUAAAAGUACCCAUUUCAAAAGCUUACAUUGCCCACCAAACAGUCUUUAUUUUUUUAUUAAAGUUUAUCUUAUUUAUUUAUUUUGAGAGAGAGAGCAGGGGAGAGGCAGAGAGAGAUGGAGAGUGGGAAUCCCAAGCAGGCUCCACACUGUCAGUGCAGAACCUGAUGCAGGGCUCAAACUUACAAACCGAGAUCAUGACCUGAACCAAAAUCAAAAGCCAGACACUUAACUGACUGAGGUACCCCUCAGUAGCAGCAGUUUUUAAAGGAUAAUUUGGAUCAUGCUCAAAUAGAGCUCUGCAAAUUUCUUAUUGCACUUUUCUUCACUUGAGAGAGAAACUGUUUACACGAACAUGAAACAAACCUAAAACCUGGACCUUCACAGAGCUUUCACUCACCCAAAUAAAUGCAUUUAUUUGUUAUUCUUAGCACUUAACCUAAUAAUACCCCCUGGGUUAUAUAUAACAUUUUUCUGAAUAUCUACAAUGUAGCAGUUAUUUCUGAACAUUUACUCCUGGAAAUUCACAGGAUGAACAAGUUUGCAUGCCGUAGGAUUUCUGAAAACCAUCUUGGCAAAAAUAAAAUAAAAGUAAGUGAGGUAGGGCACCCGGGUGGCUCAGUCAGUUAAGCAUCGGACUCUUGGUUUUGGCUCAGGUUAUAUUCUCAUGGUUUGUGAGUUCAAGCCCCACGUUAGGCUCUACACUGAUAGUCCGGAGCCUGCUUGGGAUCCUCUCUCUCCCUUUCUCUCUACCCCUUCCCUGCUUGUUCUCUCCCUCUCUCUUUCUAAAAAAAAAAAAAAAAACUUAAAAAGUGAGGUAAUCAUUUCACAGUAUAUACAUAUGUCAAAUCAUUAUGUUGUACAUCUUAAAGGAAUACAGUGUUCUAUGUUGAUUAUAUCUCAGUAAAACUGGGGGGAAAUGAAUGAGGGCUUUGGAAUAAAAUUGGAACGUAAUUUUACUA